Molecule: ribosomal RNA, 501 nt
Filed under: uncultured bacterium
Lineage: Bacteria
Description: partial 16S ribosomal RNA
Rfam family: Bacterial small subunit ribosomal RNA
Source: RNAcentral
AUUGAACGCUGGCGGCAGGCUUAACACAUGCAAGUCGAGCGGGGAAAGGUAGCUUGCUACUUAACCUAGCGGCGGACGGGUGAGUAAUGCUUAGGAAUCUGCCUAUUAGUGGGGGACAACAUCUCGAAAGGGAUGCUAAUACCGCAUACGUCCUACGGGAGAAAGCAGGGGACCUUCGGGCCUCGCGCUAAUAGAUGAGCCUAAGUCGGAUUAGCUAGUUGGUGGGGUAAAGGCCUACCAAGGCGACGAUCUGUAGCGGGUCUGAGAGGAUGAUCCGCCACACUGGGACUGAGACACGGCCCAGACUCCUACGGGAGGCAGCAGUGGGGAAUAUUGGACAAUGGGGGGAACCCUGAUCCAGCCAUGCCGCGUGUGUGAAGAAGGCCUUUUGGUUGUAAAGCACUUUAAGCGAGGAGGAGGCUACCGAGAUUAAUACUCUUGGAUAGUGGACGUUACUCGCAGAAUAAGCACCGGCUAACUCUGUGCCAGCCGCCGCCGUAA